Long non-coding RNA from Coffea eugenioides, 793 nucleotides. RefSeq lists it as uncharacterized. Lineage: Eukaryota; Viridiplantae; Streptophyta; Magnoliopsida; Gentianales; Rubiaceae. The record is from RefSeq and is a predicted model, not a curated record. The transcript is spliced from 3 exons.
CAGCCCUCCUCAAAAGCUUCAUCGCAACGCAGCAGGGCUGUCCGAGUUCAUCAUCUUCACCAUUCAGCUUUGACGAAAUAUUCACGGAUGAAGCUUCGAAUCUCUUCCCAAAGCUUCCACUCCGAAUGUUUCAUCUGUUAAAUUGUUUGAAAAUUCGGUAUCUGCUGGACGAAGCACACCACCUGUUCGAUCAAAUGCCUAAGAGGAAGAUGAAUCAAACUGUAAGGAUAGUGCCAAUAAGGAUAGUGCCGAUGAGGAAAUGCAGAUAAGGAUAGUGCCGAUGAUGAGAUUUUUGGUGGUGACAAGAGAAAAGUGUAUACAGGGUAUCAUUAUUAUUAGAGAUGAAGAACCAAUUAUAUCACAAGUAAAAGAUCUUGCCCCCAAGUUUCUUUGGGACAUUGAAGUGCAUCUUUUGGCAGAUGAUCAGACAAGACCAGCAACUCAGUUUUAUUUUGCCGGAAGAAGGUUUGGGCCAUUGUUUAAGUUGCAGAGCUUCGUGGCCGGUUGUUGUUCUUAAGUAACUACAUACAGAUCGAUUCCUGUACUAUAGAAAAAGUCAAACCAGACUUUUUUAGGUAAAAGUUAUCGUCAGAAUAGACUGUUUAUUGAUCAUUAGUAGAUUGAUUUUGUAAAUUCUUAGGUGCAGCUCUUUUUUCAUGGCACCAGGAGGAAGGUACAGAAAUCUCUGUUUUUUUCAACAGAAUUGUAACUUUCGAAUGAAUUCUGUGGUUAGAAGCCUAUGUAGCAUCCAAACAAUUUUUUUCAUUGUUCAUUCAUGCAGCUUUUUCUUCUU